AUUUAAAUAGUUUAAUAUAAAAUAUUGAUUUGUGGUAUCAAUGAUAUGAAUUUCAUUUUAAAUC
RNAcentral lists this transfer RNA (64 nucleotides) under Endopterygota sp. 25 LC-2017. RNAcentral describes it as "tRNA-His". Lineage: Eukaryota; Metazoa; Arthropoda; Insecta. The record is from RNAcentral.